GGGACACGUGGUAUCCUGUCUGAAUAUGGGGGGACCAUCCUCCAAGGCUAAAUACUCCUGACUGACCGAUAGUGAACCAGUACCGUGAGGGAAAGGCGAAAAGAACCCCGGCGAGGGGAGUGAAAAAGAACCUGAAACCGUGUACGUACAAGCAGUGGGAGCACCUUCGGGUGUGACUGCGUACCUUUUGUAUAAUGGGUCAGCGACUUAUAUUCUGUAGCAAGGUUAACCGUAUAGGGGAGCCGCAGGGAAACCGAGUCUUAACUGGGCGUUAAGUUGCAGGGUAUAGACCCGAAACCCGGUGAUCUAGCCAUGGGCAGGUUGAAGGUUGGGUAACACUAACUGGAGGACCGAACCGACUAAUGUUGAAAAAUUAGCGGAUGACUUGUGGCUGGGGGUGAAAGGCCAAUCAAACCGGGAGAUAGCUGGUUCUCCCCGAAAGCUAUUUAGGUAGCGCCUCGUGAACUCAUCUUCGGGGGUAGAGCACUGUUUCGGCUAGGGGGUCAUCCCGACUUACCAACCCGAUGCAAACUACGAAUACCGAAGAAUGUUAUCACGGGAGACACACGGCGGGUGCUAACGUCCGUCGUGAAGAGGGAAACAACCCAGACCGCCAGCUAAGGUCCCAAAGUCAUGGUUAAGUGGGAAACGAUGUGGGAAGGCACAGACAGCCAGGAUGUUGGCUUAGAAGCAGCCAUCAUUUAAAGAAAGCGUAAUAGCUCACUGGUCGAGUCGGCCUGCGCGGAAGAUGUAACGGGGCUAAACCAUGCACCGAAGCUGCGGCAGCGACACUAUGUGUUGUUGGGUAGGGGAGCGUUCUGUAAGCCUGCGAAGGUGUGCUGUGAGGCAUGCUGGAGGUAUCAGAAGUGCGAAUGCUGACAUAAGUAACGAUAAAGCGGGUGAAAAGCCCGCUCGCCGGAAGACCAAGGGUUCCUGUCCAACGUUAAUCGGGGCAGGGUGAGUCGACCCCUAAGGCGAGGCCGAAAGGCGUAGUCGAUGGGAAACAGGUUAAUAUUCCUGUACUUGGUGUUACUGCGAAGGGGGGACGGAGAAGGCUAUGUUAGCCGGGCGACGGUUGUCCCGGUUUAAGCAUGUAGGCUGGUUAUCCAGGCAAAUCCGGAUAAUCAAGGCUGAGGUGUGAUGACGAGGCACUACGGUGCUGAAGUAACAAAUGCCCUGCUUCCAGGAAAAGCCUCUAAGCAUCAGGUAACAUCAAAUCGUACCCCAAACCGACACAGGUGGUCAGGUAGAGAAUACCAAGGCGCUUGAGAGAACUCGGGUGAAGGAACUAGGCAAAAUGGUGCCGUAACUUCGGGAGAAGGCACGCUGGUGUGUAGGUGAAGUCCCUGCGGAUGGAGCUGAGACCAGUCGAAGAUACCAGCUGGCUGCAACUGUUUAUUAAAAACACAGCACUGUGCAAACACGAAAGUGGACGUAUACGGUGUGACGCCUGCCCGGUGCCGGAAGGUUAAUUGAUGGGGUUAUCCGUAAGGAGAAGCUCUUGAUCGAAGCCCCGGUAAACGGCGGCCGUAACUAUAACGGUCCUAAGGUAGCGAAAUUCCUUGUCGGGUAAGUUCCGACCUGCACGAAUGGCGUAAUGAUGGCCAGGCUGUCUCCACCCGAGACUCAGUGAAAUUGAACUCGCUGUGAAGAUGCAGUGUACCCGCGGCAAGACGGAAAGACCCCGUGAACCUUUACUAUAGCUUGACACUGAACAUUGAGCCUUGAUGUGUAGGAUAGGUGGGAGGCUUUGAAGCGUGGACGCCAGUCUGCGUGGAGCCAACCUUGAAAUACCACCCUUUAAUGUUU
Molecule: ribosomal RNA, 1809 nt
Filed under: Klebsiella pneumoniae
Lineage: Bacteria; Pseudomonadati; Pseudomonadota; Gammaproteobacteria; Enterobacterales; Enterobacteriaceae
Description: partial 23S ribosomal RNA
Rfam family: Bacterial large subunit ribosomal RNA
Source: RNAcentral